GACGAACGCUGGCGGUGUGCUUAACACAUGCAAGUGGUGCGACGAACCAGAGCUUGCUCUGGGGCAAAGCCGCGAACGGGUGAGUAACACGUGGGUAAUCUACCCCGAUGACCGGGACAACCCGAGGAAACUCGGGCUAAUACCGGAUGUGGUGCGGAGACAUAAGUCUCUUCACUAAAGGUAGCUUCGGCUUCCGCAUUGGGAGGGGCCCGCGGCCCAUUAGCUUGUUGGUGGGGUCAAGGCCUACCAAGGCAACGAUGGGUAGCUGGUCUGAGAGGACGAUCAGCCACACUGGGACUGAGACACGGCCCAGACUCCUACGGGAGGCAGCAGUGGGGAAUCUUGCGCAAUGCGCGAAAGCGUGACGCAGCAACACCGCGUGAGGGAAGAAGGCCUUAGGGUUGUAAACCUCUUUCAGAUGGGACGAAGGUUCUCCGGUGAAUAGCCGAGAGGAUUGACAGUACCGUCAGAAGAAGCUCCGGCUAACUACGUG
This 493-nucleotide ribosomal RNA is filed under the name uncultured bacterium. RNAcentral describes it as "partial 16S ribosomal RNA". It matches the Rfam family "Bacterial small subunit ribosomal RNA", at positions 28 to 507 of the family's 1533-position model. The record is from RNAcentral.